This 202-nucleotide ribosomal RNA is filed under the name uncultured bacterium. Its description in RNAcentral is "partial 16S ribosomal RNA". It matches the Rfam family "Bacterial small subunit ribosomal RNA", at positions 1300 to 1500 of the family's 1533-position model. The record is from RNAcentral.
GCAGGCUGCAACUCGCCUGCGUCAAGUUGGAAUUGCUAGUAAUCGCGAGUCAGCAUAUCGCGGUGAAUACGUUCCCGGGUCUUGUACACACCGCCCGUCACACCAUGGGAGUUGGCAACACCCGAAGUCGAUGAGCUAACCUUUUAGGAGGCAGUCGCCUAAGGUGGGGUUGAUAACUGGGGUGAAGUCGUAACAAGGUACC